GACGAACGCUGGCGGCGUGCUUAACACAUGCAAGUCGAACGGUGAAGGGACCGGUUUUUGCUGGUUCUGGAUGAGUGGCGAACGGGUGAGUAACACGUGAGUAACCUGCCCCCUUCUUCUGGAUAACCGCAUGAAAGUGUGGCUAAUACGGGAUAUUCUGCGCCUGCUGCAUGGUGGGUGUGGGAAAGAUAUUGUUUCGGUGGGGGAUGGGCUCGCGGCCUAUCAGCUUGUUGGUGGGGUGAUGGCCUACCAAGGCGGUGACGGGUAGCCGGCCUGAGAGGGUGGACGGUCACACUGGGGCUGAGACACGGCCCAGACUCCUACGGGAGGCAGCAGUGGGGAAUAUUGCACAAUGGGCGCAAGCCUGAUGCAGCGACGCCGCGUGAGGGAUGGAGGCCUUCGGGUUGUAAACCUCUUUCGCCAGUGAAGCAGGCCUGUCCCUUUUGUGGGUGGGUUGACGGUAGCUGGAUAAGAAGCGCCGGCUAACUACGUG
RNAcentral lists this ribosomal RNA (493 nucleotides) under uncultured bacterium. RNAcentral's name for it is "partial 16S ribosomal RNA". It matches the Rfam family "Bacterial small subunit ribosomal RNA", at positions 28 to 507 of the family's 1533-position model. The record is from RNAcentral.